Long non-coding RNA from Varanus komodoensis (Komodo dragon), 639 nucleotides. RefSeq lists it as uncharacterized. NCBI's taxonomy places the organism in Eukaryota, Metazoa, Chordata, Lepidosauria, Squamata, Varanidae. The transcript has 3 exons. The record is from RefSeq and is a predicted model, not a curated record.
UUCUUACUUAGGAGAUGCUUGUAAACAAGGCUUGCCCAACCUGUUGCUCUCCAAGGUGCUGCGAUGUGUAGUCUAACCCAGCUGGAAGGCAACAGGUGGAGGAUGGCUGAGGGCCCACAUGCCAUGAAAUCAGAAAAUUUUAAUGACCAUCUGCUAUUGAUAGCCUGACUUCCAAACCAGCUAAAUGGAACAACUAUCAGAUUCUGCUUCUGAGUGGCUAAAUUUUAUGUGCCUUGGAGAAUAUCAAAUCCAACUGUUCAGUGUGAAAUCUACAGCAAGCAGAUGUUCAGAGGAAAACUGCCGGGUGUUGUGCUUACAGAGUGGAUGUCAGACAUUGCUUCUUUGUCCCAGAACCCAACAUGAGUGCAACAUGAGGCUACAUUCAAUCCAUCUUGGGACUUCAGCAGUUUUGCUAUUUGCAGGCUCCAGCCAGUACUGAUCAAAAGGCUUCGUGGAGCUACUCUGUCUUCUUCUCCCAACAGAUUUUGAAUGGAAAGAUGAACGAUAUAUGAAAUGGGAAGGAAACCGGUGUGACAGCAGGGCUGGCCAUGCAUGAAGCAGGGAGAGGUUGCCACAUCAGGUAAGAGGUGCAGAGGGGCAGCACAUUGCAUCCCCCAUCUUUUCCCAGCUGGGGGGGGC